RNAcentral lists this ribosomal RNA (253 nucleotides) under uncultured bacterium. RNAcentral's name for it is "partial 16S ribosomal RNA". It matches the Rfam family "Bacterial small subunit ribosomal RNA", at positions 524 to 776 of the family's 1533-position model. RNAcentral also lists the same sequence under 1 other name. The record is from RNAcentral.
UACGGAGGGAGCUAGCGUUGUUCGGAAUUACUGGGCGUAAAGCGCACGUAGGCGGCUUUGUAAGUUAGAGGUGAAAGCCUGGAGCUUAACUCCAGAAUUGCCUUUAAGACUGCAUCGCUUGAAUCCGGGAGAGGUGAGUGGAAUUCCGAGUGUAGAGGUGAAAUUCGUAGAUAUUCGGAAGAACACCAGUGGCGAAGGCGGCUCACUGGACCGGUAUUGACGCUGAGGUGCGAAAGCGUGGGGAGCAAACAGG